Molecule: ribosomal RNA, 1665 nt
Filed under: Leptonetela maxillacostata
Lineage: Eukaryota; Metazoa; Arthropoda; Arachnida; Araneae; Leptonetidae
Description: SSU rRNA
Rfam family: Eukaryotic small subunit ribosomal RNA
Source: RNAcentral
AGGCGAAACCGCGAAUGGCUCAUUAAAUCAGUUUUGGUUCCUUAGAUCGUACCUCACUACUUGGAUAACUGUGGUAAUUCUAGAGCUAAUACAUGCAGCAGAGCUCCGACCUCAGGGGACGAGCGCUUUUAUUAGAAAAGACCAACCCGGAGGCUCCGGUCGUUGUGGCGACUCUGGAUAACUUUGGGCUGAUCGCACGGGCUCGUCCCGGCGACGCAUCUUUCAAGUGUCUGCCUUAUCAACUGUCGAUGGUAGGUCACGCGCCUACCAUGGUCGUAACGGGUGACGGGGAAUCAGGGUUCGAUUCCGGAGAGGGAGCCUGAGAAACGGCUACCACAUCCAAGGAAGGCAGCAGGCGCGCAAAUUACCCACUCCCGGCACGGGGAGGUAGUGACGAAAAAUAACGAUACGGGACUCUUUUGAGACCCCGUAAUUGGAAUGAGUACCAUGUAAAGACUUUUUCGAAAGUCCACUGGAGGGCAAGUCUUGUGCCAGCAGCCGCGGUAAUUCAAGCUCCAGUAGCGUAUAUUAAUGUUGUUGCGGUUAAAAAGCUCGUAGUUGGAUCUCAGUUCGGGACGGGCGGUCCGCCUACCGGUGGUCACUGUUCGUUCCGGACAGCCAGCCGGUUUCCGGGGAUGAUCUUGACCGGUUGUCUCGGGUGACCGGCACGUUUACUUUGAAAAAAUUAGAGUGCUCAAAGCAGGCCGAGAGCCUGGAUAAUGGUGCAUGGAAUAAUGGAAUAGGACCUCGGUUCUAUUUUGUUGGUUUUCGGAACACGAGGUAAUGAUCGAGAGGGACAGACGGGGGCAUUCGUAUUGCGGCGAUAGAGGUGAAAUUCUUGGACCGCCGCACGACGAACAGCUGCGAAAGCAUUUGCCAAGAAUGUUUCCGUUGAUCAAGAACGAAAGUUAGAGGUUCGAAGGCGAUCAGAUACCGCCCUAGUUCUAACCAUAAACGAUGCCAACCGGCGAUCCGCCUGAGUUCCUGAAAUGACUCGGCGGGCAGCUUCCGGGAAACCAGCUUUGGGUUCCGGGGGAAGUAUGGUUGCAAAGCUUAAACUUAAAGGAAUUGACGGAGAGACACCACAAGAGGUGGAGCUUGCGGCUCAAUUUGACUCAACGCUGGUGACCGUACCCGGUCCGGACACUGGAAGGAUUGACAGAUUAAGAGCUCUUUCUUGAUUCAGUGACAAGUGGUGCAUGGUCGCCCUUAGUUCGUGGUGUGGAUUGUCUGGUUAAUUCCGUCAACGAACGAGAUUAUAUCCUACUAAAUAGACGGCCCACUCUCAGCAGUGGGACGCUUUCUUAGAGGGACAGGCGGCGUCUAGCCGCACGAGACGUACCUAUGGCAGGUCUGUGAUGCCCUCAGAUGAACGGGGCCGCACGCGUGCUACAAUGAAGGAAUCAGCACGUGCUUUCCCGGUCCGAGAGGACCGGGUAACCCAAUGAACCUCCUUCGUGAUUGGGAUAGGGGCUUGCAAUUAUUCCCCUUGAACGAGGAACCCCUAGUAAGCGCGAGUCAUCAUCUCGUGUUGAAUCAGUCCCUGUCUCUUGUGCACACCGCCCGUCGCUAGGAUCGAUGGAGUGAUUUUGUGAGGUCUUCGGACUGGCUCUCGGAGCGGCCUCCGGGUCGCGCCGAGUUGCCGGGAAGAAAAUCGAACAUGAU